AUCUUCGGGGUCGGGUGAAAGUCCCAACCGGCGGUAUAGUCCGCGACCCGCAUUUAUGCGGCUGAACCGGUGACUCUCAGAGAGAGAAUUCCGGUACCGACAGUACAGUCUGGAUGAGAGAAGAA
RNAcentral lists this non-coding RNA (125 nucleotides) under uncultured Mediterraneibacter sp. Its description in RNAcentral is "FMN riboswitch (RFN element)". It matches the Rfam family "FMN riboswitch aptamer (RFN element)". From Rfam's summary of the family: The RFN element is a highly conserved domain that is found frequently in the 5'-untranslated regions of prokaryotic mRNAs that encode for flavin mononucleotide (FMN) biosynthesis and transport proteins. This element is a metabolite-dependent riboswitch that directly binds FMN in the absence of proteins. The record is from RNAcentral. Lineage: Bacteria; Bacillati; Bacillota; Clostridia; Lachnospirales; Lachnospiraceae.